RNAcentral lists this transfer RNA (73 nucleotides) under Ixodes scapularis (black-legged tick). Its description in RNAcentral is "tRNA-Ser". Lineage: Eukaryota; Metazoa; Arthropoda; Arachnida; Ixodida; Ixodidae. The record is from RNAcentral.
UCCUGGUUGGCUCAGUUAGUAGAGCGCUCCAGUGGAAAUCGGCAGGUCCCUGGUUCGAUACCAGGACAAGGAG